RNAcentral lists this ribosomal RNA (433 nucleotides) under uncultured bacterium. RNAcentral describes it as "partial 16S ribosomal RNA". It matches the Rfam family "Bacterial small subunit ribosomal RNA", at positions 29 to 507 of the family's 1533-position model. The record is from RNAcentral.
AACGAACGCUGGCGGCAUGCCUAACACAUGCAAGUCGAACGAGACCUUCGGGUCUAGUGGCGCACGGGUGCGUAACGCGUGGGAACCUGCCCUUAGGUUCGGAAUAACUCCCCGAAAGGGGUGCUAAUACCGGAUAAUGUCUUCGGACCAAAGAUUUAUCGCCUUUGGAUGGGCCCGCGUGGGAUUAGCGAGUGGGUAGGGUAAAAGCCUACCAAGGCGACGAUCCAUAGCUGGUCUGCGAGGAGGAGCAGCCACCCUGGGGCUGAGACCCGGCCCAGACUCGUACGGGAGGCAGCAGUGGGGGAUAGUGGAGGGUGGGCGAAAGCCUGAUCCAGCGAUGCCGCGUGAGUGAUGAAGGGGUUAGGGUUGUAAAGCUCUUUUACCCGGGAUGAUAAUGACAGUACCGGGAGAAUAAGCUCCGGCUAACUCCGUG